This 468-nucleotide ribosomal RNA is filed under the name uncultured bacterium. Its description in RNAcentral is "partial 16S ribosomal RNA". It matches the Rfam family "Bacterial small subunit ribosomal RNA", at positions 28 to 507 of the family's 1533-position model. The record is from RNAcentral.
GACGAACGCUGGCGGCGUGCUUAACACAUGCAAGUCGAAUGGAAAGGCCCUGCUAUUGUGGGGUGCUCGAGUGGCGAACGGGUGAUUAACAGGAGAGUAACCUGCUCUUGACUUUGCGUUACCUUCAGGAAACUGGGGCUAAUACCGGAUAGGCGCUCCUGCUGCAUGGAGGGGGUUGGAAAGUCUCGGCGGUUGGGGAUGGACUCGCGGCUUAUCAGCUUGUUGGUGGGGUAGUGGCUCACCAAGGCUUUGACGGGUAGCCGGCCUGAGAGGGUGACUGGCCACAUUGGGACUGAGAUACGGCGCAGACUCGUAGGGGAGGCAGCAGUGGGGAAUAUUGCACAAUGAGCGGAAGCCUGAGGCAGCAACGCCGCGUGCGGGAUGACGGCCUUCGCGGUGGAAACCGCUUACGCCUGUGACGAAGCGGGCGUGACGGUAAUGGGUAAAGAAGCACCGGCUAACUACGUG